GAUGAACGCUGGCGGCGUGCCUAAUACAUGCAAGUCGAGCGAACGGACGAUAAGCUUGCUUCUCGGAUGUUAGCGGCGGACGGGUGAGUAACACGUGGAUCACCUACCUAUAAGACGGGGAUAACUUCGGGAAACCGGAGCUAAUACCGGAGAAUAUUUUGAACCGCAUGGUUCAAAAGUGAAAGACGGUCUUGCGGUCACGUAUAGAUGGAUCCGCGCUGCAUUAGGUAGUUGGGAAGGUAACGGCUUACCAAGGCAGCGAUGCAUAGCCGACCUCAUAGGGUGGUCGCCCGCCCGAGAUGUGAGACAGGGUCCAUGCUCCUGCGAUAGGGACCAGUCGGCAAUCGUCCGCAAUAGGGGAGAGCCUUGCGCAACAGGCCGGCGCGAGAUACAACGAUGCCCCGAGCGUGAUGCUCUGUUAUUAGGUGAGAACCUAUUUGUAAGGAGCUGUGCCGAUCUUGACGGUACCUAAUAAGAAAGCCCCGGCUAACUACGUG
Molecule: ribosomal RNA, 497 nt
Filed under: uncultured bacterium
Lineage: Bacteria
Description: partial 16S ribosomal RNA
Rfam family: Bacterial small subunit ribosomal RNA
Source: RNAcentral